UUCUUUUUUUGCUGAAAAGAAACUUGUGAUUCCAUCUUGACCCUUCUUUAUGUUACCUCAAAUCAAUAAAGAAUAAAGUAAAAGAAAAUUGAUUAUUCACUACUUUCAAAUUUCACAAGCACUUAUUUUCUUUUCAAACAACAUCAAGUAGAUCUUCAACUGGGUUUCUCUAUUGACAACACCCAACGAUUUCUCCAUUUCAACAAUGGAACACAAGAUCGAUGCCAUGGCAGUCAAGAUUGAGGCCUUGGAAUUGAAAAUUAAUGGGUUGGUGAAUUGUGUGAAAAUGAAUGAAGAUGUAGCUGAUCUACAAGCUAGACUUGGCACUGAGUUGUACGAAUUAGAUGAUCUGCAUAGUUCGGAUAUCAGUCGAGCCAUAACCAUUUUAGCCACAAGACAUGAUUUGUUGAGGGUUUUCUUUGGUUUGCCUUCUCAGCUGAAGAAAUUAUAUAUUGAGAACAUUGGCGUGUAUGGACCAAAAGUCAUAUAGCUACACAUAUUUAUGUAAACUUUUCCAUAUUUGAUCUGUGUCAUUUGGUAUCGAAGGAUAAAUUAGGGUUUAUGUUAUUUAGGGUGUCGAGGAUCCAAACCAGUCAAAUGGUCAAAGAUUGGAUAUCCAACUAUGGUAAGAAUAGAUUUAAAAAUUUGGAUGCUAAUUGAAUUGUUAGCGGAUGGGAUUAUCAAGAUCCAAUCUCGACGGAACCAAUCCAACCUAUAUAUAUAUAAAUAUAUAUUUUAAUUA
Molecule: long non-coding RNA, 742 nt
Organism: Humulus lupulus (European hop)
Lineage: Eukaryota; Viridiplantae; Streptophyta; Magnoliopsida; Rosales; Cannabaceae
Exons: 2
Source: RefSeq, a predicted model, not a curated record